Molecule: long non-coding RNA, 1830 nt
Filed under: Medicago truncatula (barrel medic)
Lineage: Eukaryota; Viridiplantae; Streptophyta; Magnoliopsida; Fabales; Fabaceae
Description: long non-coding RNA (MTRU_LNC002863)
Source: RNAcentral
GUUCAAAAUGACAUUCUUAUACCUAAAAGGAUAUAAAAAUCGGAAUUUUUCAGAUCGGAUUCCCGGAGGUAAAUGGAUCGGACGAACUAUCCCCUCAUAAACUAGUCAACUUAGGAAAUAGUUUACUCCGGGGACCUAAAGGUGGCUACAAUCUGAACGGCAACAUCUACAACUAAUCUGACCGUUCAAAAUGACAUUCUUAUACAUAAAAGGAUAUAGAAAUCAGAAUUUUUCAGAUCGGGUUCCCGGAGGUAAAUGGAUCGGACGAACUAUCCCCUCAUAAACUGGUCAACUUAGGAACUAGUUUACUCUAGGGACCUAAACGUGGCUAAAAUCUGAAUGGCAACAAGUACAAUCAAUCCAACCGUUCAAAAUGACAUUCUUAUACCUAAAAGGAUAUAGAAAUCAGAAUUUUUCAGAACGGGUUCCCGGAGGUAAAUGGAUCGGAGGAACUAUUCCCUCAUAAACUAGUCAACUUAGGAACUAGUUUACUCCGGGGACCUAAACGUAGCUAAAAUUUGAAUGGCAAAAAAUACAACCAAUUCAACCGUUCAAAAUGACAUUCUUAUACCUAAAAGGAUAUAGAAAUCGGAAUUUUUCAGAUCAAGUUCCCGGAGGUAAAUGGAUCGGACGAACUAUCCCCUCAUAAACUAGUCAACUUAGGAACUAGUUUACUCCAGGGACCUAAACGUUGCUAAAAUCUGAAUGGCAACAAGUACAAUCAAUCCAACCGUUCAAAAUGACAUUCUUAUACUUAAAAGGAUAUAGAAAUUGGAAUUUUUCAGAUCGGGUUCCUGGAGGUUAAUGGAUCGGACGAACUAUCCCUUCAUAAACUAGUCAACUUAGGAACUAGUUAACUCAGGGGACCUAAACGUGGCUAAAAUCUGAAUGGCAACAAGUACAACCAAUCCGACCGUUCAAAAUGACAUUCUUAGACCUAAAAGGAUAUAGAAAUCGGAAUUUCUCAUAUUGGAUUCUCAGAGGUAAGUGGAUCGGACGAACUAUCCCCUCAAGUUAUAAUAAAACAAACUAACCAUGAUUAUCUAUUUUAAUGACAUCAACAAUGUAACAAACAAAUAUAAUAUAAUUUUUUUAAUGACACCAACAACAAUUUUAAUUAUAAAAAAAGUUAUUUAAAGGUAUAAUAGCACUAGAAGAAAAUGGUCAUUUUGGGACACUCUGAAAGUGUAAAAACUACUAAUUUUUUUUGCACUAAUUUUACGAUGGGUUGCUUUAAGAAAUUAAUUAGUAUAUCAAGCACUUAAUGGAUCAAUUAAUUAAACCAUUAUAAUCAAUAUUAUAAAAUGAUUGUAAUUAUAUAUGUGAUGUUAAGAAUUUAAUCGUGCAAUUGUUUAAAUUAAAAUUAACUGUCUAUUGUUUUGUACAAUUAUUUAUUUUUUAUAAGAUAUAAUUGUACAUAUAACGAAUCACAGAAAGACAUCACUCCUACAACUAAAAUAGACUUAACCGUCUAAUGGUAUCAAAUAUAAUCAACCGGAUCGUUGAAUAUGACCUUAUUGGAAUAAGAACGAAGUAGUAACUGGAAUUUAUGAAUUCAAAAUAUUAUGUGUAAGUUGAUAUGACGAACUCUCCCGUUAGAAACCUAGUCAAUACGGAAAGACAUUACUCCGACGAUCAAAACGGAUCCAACCGACUAACAAUAUCAAAUAUAACCAAUCAGGCCAUUGGAAUAUAAUAUGACCUUAUCAGAAUAAGAACGAAGCACAAAAUGAAAUUUUGAAAAUCAAAAUCUUCAUUGUAUCAUUGUAAGUCGAUAUAACGAAGUAUCCCAUUAAAAACAUAGUCAACAUGAAAGGACAUUACUCCGAC